AUGGAGUACUCGCCGAAGCUGGCAGUAGUACUGCUCUUAGCUCUCGCGUCCGCCAUGGCGGCCACGGCCCAGAACUCGCCGCAGGACUUCGUGGACCCCCACAACGCGGCGCGCGCCGAUGUGGGCGUCGGGCCGGUGACCUGGGACGACACCGUGGCCGCGUACGCGCAGAACUACGCGGAGCAGCGCCGCGGCGACUGCCAGCUGAUACAUACUCCCGAUGGCCGGCCCUACGGGGAGAACCUCUUCGGAGGCGGUGGGACCCAGUGGACGGCGGCGGACGCCGUGAACUCGUGGGUGUCGGAGAAGCAGUACUACGACCACGGCAGCAACAGCUGCUCCGCCCCGGAGGGCGACUCGUGCGGGCACUACACGCAGGUGGUGUGGCGUGACUCGACGGCCAUCGGCUGCGCCCGCGUCGUCUGCGACAGCGGCGACGGCGUGUUCAUCAUCUGCAGCUACAACCCGCCGGGCAACUACGUGGGGCAGAGCCCAUACUAG
RNAcentral lists this ribosomal RNA (501 nucleotides) under Triticum aestivum (bread wheat). RNAcentral describes it as "partial small subunit ribosomal RNA". Lineage: Eukaryota; Viridiplantae; Streptophyta; Magnoliopsida; Poales; Poaceae. The record is from RNAcentral.